Molecule: ribosomal RNA, 510 nt
Filed under: uncultured bacterium
Lineage: Bacteria
Description: bacterial SSU rRNA
Rfam family: Bacterial small subunit ribosomal RNA
Source: RNAcentral
CUGGCGGCGUGCCUAAUACAUGCAAGUCGAACGGUCUUUCUAUGGAAGCUUGCUUCCACUGAGAAGAUAGUGGCGAACGGGUGAGUAACACGUGGGUAACCUGCCCAUAAGAGGGGGAUAACAUCCGGAAACGGGUGCUAAUACCGCAUAGUUUUCUUGAUCGCAUGAUCGGGAAAGGAAAGACGGCCUUUGUGCUGUCGCUUAUGGAUGGACCCGCGGCGUAUUAGUUAGUUGGUGAGGUAACGGCUCACCAAGACGAUGAUACGUAGCCGACCUGAGAGGGUGAUCGGCCACAUUGGGACUGAGACACGGCCCAAACUCCUACGGGAGGCAGCAGUAGGGAAUCUUCCGCAAUGGACGAAAGUCUGACGGAGCAACGCCGCGUGAGUGAAGAAAAGGUUUUCGGAUCGUAAAACUCUGUUGUCAGAGAAGAACAAGUUGGAGAGUAACUGCUCCAGCCUUGACGGUAUCUGACCAGAAAGCCACGGCUAACUACGUGCCAGCCGCUGC